CUAAUUUACGGGCAAAAGCUUAAUUAUUUUAAAGCUAUUUAAAAAUGACAGUGUGAUUGUAAUAACAUUAAAAAUUGUACUCACAACUCAUCUUGCAGGCUGCGCAUGAAAACUGGUUGUGAGCCCUGGUCUAUGGUGAGGCUGAAAUUGGAAACACACAAAUUAGAACAUUAAGGAUAAUACAAAAGUUUGGUUCAAUAAAAAAUAAAUAGUAAGACGUUUUCAAGUAUUAUAAAAGAACAAUAGUCAAUCACUUGUUAUUAAAUUUUUUGAAAAACAUUUUUUAAUAAGUUUUGAACCUACCUUUGAUUGGUUCUGUUUUAGUCAUCUGGUACUUUUUUACUGUUGAGAGCAUCCUGUUUCCAUGUUGGUCUUGAAAAAGAACGGGAUUUAGGAUAUGUCAAACGUGCAUCGUUUUACUGCAUAUCAUUUGGGAAAUCAAUAAUGCCAACAAAGAAUUAAAUGGAAACCAAACAGCAUUUGUGGUGUAUGAAAGAAUGAUGGAGAGUUCGUCCCCAAUGUGUUUGUUAUAAUUUGAAGAAACAUUAUUUUACCUUCCUGGU
This is a long non-coding RNA of Dreissena polymorpha, 563 nucleotides long. RefSeq lists it as uncharacterized. The transcript is spliced from 3 exons. NCBI's taxonomy places the organism in Eukaryota, Metazoa, Mollusca, Bivalvia, Myida, Dreissenidae. The record is from RefSeq and is a predicted model, not a curated record.